This 465-nucleotide ribosomal RNA is filed under the name uncultured bacterium. RNAcentral's name for it is "partial 16S ribosomal RNA". It matches the Rfam family "Bacterial small subunit ribosomal RNA", at positions 338 to 795 of the family's 1533-position model. The record is from RNAcentral.
CCUACGGGUGGCAGCAGUAGGGAAUCUUCCACAAUGGGCGAAAGCCUGAUGGAGCCACGCCGCGUGGGUGAAGAAGGUCUUCGGAUCGUAAAACACUGUUGUUAGAGAAGAAAGCGCGUGAGAGUAACUGUUCACGUUUCGACGGUAUCUAUCCAGAAAGCCACGGCUAACUACGUGCCAGCAGCCGCGGUAAUACGGAGGUGGCAAGCGUUAUCCGGAUUUAUUGGGCGUAAAGGGAACGCAGGCGGUCUGUUAAGUCUGAUGUGAAAGCCUUCGGCUUAACCGGAGUAGUGCAUUGGAAACUGGCAGGCUUGAGUGCAGUAGAGGGAGGUGGAACUCCAGGUGUAGCGGUGAAAUGCGUAGAGAUCUGGAAGAACACCGGUGGCGAAGGCGGCUCCCUGGACUGUGACUGACGCUGAGGUUCGAAAGCGUGGGUAGCAAACAGGAUUAGAUACCCCAGUAGUC